Molecule: ribosomal RNA, 1712 nt
Filed under: Triticum aestivum (bread wheat)
Lineage: Eukaryota; Viridiplantae; Streptophyta; Magnoliopsida; Poales; Poaceae
Description: partial small subunit ribosomal RNA
Source: RNAcentral
GCGCUUGAAAAAAAAAACACCCCCGAGUCAAGCGACAGCGCCUCCCAUCCCCAUCUCGAUCCGCCGCCUCCCCGCCGCCGGCCCGCAUCCUCCACCGCGCCAUCCGCCCCGCACUGCUGCCUGCCUUCCCUCCGCCGCGCCCUCCUCCCCGUGCACGGUUCGCCGACGCCGAGGCCCAGGCUGCCGCGCUCCGGGCCCGCGCCGGCUGGCUCGAGCGCAUGCCGCCAACCGCGACGGGCUGCUCGACACGCUCCUCGCCGCCACGGGCAACGGACGGUAGGACGAGGAGAGGGAGGUGGAGGCAGCGGAGGAGCCGGUAGGAUGACGAGAGGAAGGUUGAGGCGGCGGAAGAGCCAGUAGGAGUAGGAGGGGGAAGUGGAGGCAGCGGAGGAGGAGACGGGGAUGACGGGGACAGAUCGGCUACACGCCGGAGGACGAGGGCAUCGCACGGCCUACCGAUUCCUUCCUCCCCGUGCCCUGGUUACAAGGCCGUCGCUGCCGUCGCCCAACACCAACCGCCUUGCCCCGAUUAGCUCUUGGAGAUGCGGACGACAGGAUGUGCUCCAGCGCCGCCGCCUACGAGCGCCUCCCAGACGAUGAGUCGACAACAAAGCUCGGGGACGUGAUAUGGCGCUCGGUGUAGGUGGCCAUGGUGGACCUGAAGAAGCUGGCUGAGAUAAGCGAUGGGAACGACUAUGUUCAGCCACUAUCAGACUUUGGUGGUGUACCCCGGCUGCCAAACCAUGCUUUGCCAACCUACUAGAGGAAAGGCGAGGCUCACCAAGGGAUGAUCCUUCCACCGGAAGGGUAAUUAAUUUGCAUGCCUGAUUAUCGAAAAAAGAAGCCCUUCUGAACAUUACUUAUCCUCGAUGAGGGGAGACCGGCCAAAAGAGGAGCAAGCAAAUGAUAAGUUCGUACUCAACAUUUUGACAUUCAACAUGUAUGUACUACAAUUUCAGAAGGUCAAUAAUACCCAAUGCAUUGCCUUCCAUGAACUUUGCCAGCGGAAGAAGAAUAUCCGUCGAGCCGUCCAUCUCUUGAGGCGGCUACACCGGAGGUGGCAGAGGCGUCCGAUCGAACUCAGGUAGAGGCCGGAGGUUUGUUUCUCGGACAUGCCAGCAAUCACUCUCGAUGACACCAAUAAUGUGACGUCAUGAUUCGUGAAGGCCACCACAACUCAUCUUCAAGACCUCCUCUGCUAUCGUGUGUCGCGUUGUGCUCGUGCUAUUCCUAAUUUGGAUCAAUUGUAGACCGUGUCCUUGUAGAACACAAUUCAAUGGAGUGCCCAACCCGGAUUGUUGCUCUCUGCUAUAAGAAGGAAGGGUAGUCGGCUGGAAUCUCCAUCAUGUCAAUUUUGCACGAAACAUCCAAUGUCUUCGCCGAGUUCGUUGGAGGAAGAAGCAUCGAGUUCGCCGGAGGUACAAGAACAUCCGUCGAGCACUCCAAUGUCACCUGCAGCGGCUACACCAGAGGUCCUUAAGAUGAGUGAUGAACAUCCGUCAAGCCAUCCAAUGUUGCAUGUGGCGGCUACACCAGAGAAGGAAGCAGAAAUAGGCGUCCUGACAGUCAGCGACACCAAGAUAACCACAGGCGGCAUGGCCGUCAGCCCGACACCAAGGUUCUGGCUCCCACGGUCGGUCAACUUGACUCUGCUACAGGACAGCCACAUGGGCAUCGCACUGACUCGAAGACCACAUGCAUGUGGAGCAUGA